UACGUAGGGUCCAAGCGUUAUCCGGAAUCACUGGGCGUAAAGCGUGCGUAGGCGGGAGCUUAAGUGCAAUGCGAAAUCUUGUGGCUCAACCAUAUAGACUGUAUUGCAUACUGGGCACCUGGAGGAUGGCAGAGGCUAGUGGAAUUACUGGUGUAGCAGUGAAAUGCGUAGAUAUCAGUAGGAACACCAAUGGCGAAGGCAGCUAGCUGGGCCAUUUCUGACGCUAAGGCACGAAAGCGUGGGGAGCGAACAGG
RNAcentral lists this ribosomal RNA (254 nucleotides) under uncultured bacterium. Its description in RNAcentral is "partial 16S ribosomal RNA". It matches the Rfam family "Bacterial small subunit ribosomal RNA", at positions 524 to 776 of the family's 1533-position model. The record is from RNAcentral.